UGGCAAUUGAACUGUAUGUGUGUGCUCUGAGGGCCAUUCAGUAAUAAUGUGCGCUCAGAUCUGAGCUAUCUGGGGAUAUGUUGAAUGUACCUGUUUUGUGCAAUGGCUGCACAGUUAUAUAUUUUAAUGUGUUUUAUUGUCUUUUGCUGCCAUGUGUUCAAUGGAGUUUUGCCUCUGUCUUUGGAGAUAAUUGGAUUACUUCCCAAUUAUCUCCAGGAUAGAAGACUCUGUGGAACUG
This is a non-coding RNA of Pelobates cultripes (western spadefoot toad), 238 nucleotides long. NCBI's taxonomy places the organism in Eukaryota, Metazoa, Chordata, Amphibia, Anura, Pelobatidae. The record is from the annotation of a GenBank genome assembly.